Molecule: transfer RNA, 73 nt
Filed under: Pangasius djambal
Lineage: Eukaryota; Metazoa; Chordata; Actinopteri; Siluriformes; Pangasiidae
Description: tRNA-Glu
Rfam family: tRNA
About the family: Transfer RNA (tRNA) molecules are approximately 80 nucleotides in length.
Source: RNAcentral
UCCCUGGUGAUCUAGUGGUUAAAGAUCCUGUGCUCUCACUGCUGUGGCCUGGGUUCGAUUCCCGAGCAGGGAA